Molecule: long non-coding RNA, 470 nt
Organism: Dermacentor albipictus
Lineage: Eukaryota; Metazoa; Arthropoda; Arachnida; Ixodida; Ixodidae
Source: RefSeq, a predicted model, not a curated record
AAUGACGGUUGCUUGAAAAAAAUGUACGAACUAGCGUGAAAACUCGUCGCUGGAACCAAGCACUGUCUGUCUGGAAACUACCCAAGAAAGCGGAUUAACCUUGCAGCGUCUGGGUGUGUGCACUGCCUCCAAGAUGCUGCUCAUAUUUGAUCACCACUUUGGACUCUAUUGUCUCUGGAAGUACAAGUCACCAGUGAAUAUGUCACCACAGAGGCACAAUCCUCGCAAGGAAGAAGGACAAAAGAGAGGUUAUUGGUUUGCAAGCUGCCCACGCCAAGCCAUAAGAAGCUCAACGGACACCAUAAUAACAACAGGUUCGCGCCGCCAUAGUGGUCACCGCCCUCACAAAUAUGUUUGAUUUUUCAAACAUUGGCUACAGGCUUAGGCUCCCCUUGCUCAAGUGAUGGCUCCCCUUACAAAAGUGACGUGUUCAUCUCCUUGUAACCUUCUUGCAUUGUUUGAACGCGCAA